RNAcentral lists this long non-coding RNA (429 nucleotides) under Vigna radiata. RNAcentral's name for it is "long non-coding RNA (VRAD_LNC016566)". Lineage: Eukaryota; Viridiplantae; Streptophyta; Magnoliopsida; Fabales; Fabaceae. The record is from RNAcentral.
GGGGUUGUGAAGAGUUUUGUGAAUGCAAAAGAACUAAAUUAAGACACAAAUGCAAACAGAGAUGCAAACUUAGAUGUAAAAAACUAGUUCAAAGACAGAAUGAAAAUGGUCGGUCAUUAACUCAAUCACUAUGCUUCCAAUCACAGAUUAACACAAUAAAGGAGCUACUCUAACUUCUAAUCCAACACAGUUAACCAACUAAGCGAGGGCUAAUUAUGUUUUCAUAAAAGUGAACUAAGCGAACACAAUGUUAACAUGUAAUCCAAAUUGAACCAUGCAGUUUCAUCAACUAAGCAAAGACUAAACACCAAUUGAGCAACUAAGCGUAUAUCCAAUUGCAAGUGCAAAGAUAGAUUUCACAUUAACCAAGUCAGAGUGGCAAACACAGUCACAGUCCAUGUAUCUCAAGGAAACAAUGCAAUAUCGUUA